UCCACCACGUUGUAAGUACUCUAGUUAUGCGACAUUUUAGGCUCAGAUACCAUUGGUCCCAGUUGAGAUUUUUCACAAUCUUUCUUCUAGUGUUCUUCAUGGGCGCGAUUGUGAUUGAUCCCUUAUUUCUCCACGUCCUGACUUCUUCUUUUUUCACUUCAUGUUGCUUUGGUUGAAAUGCCUCAUGAACUGGUUGUCAAAAUUCAUCCAAAAUUUCCGCAAAUCCCUUUGAUUUAAAUGCAUGUCUUGAAAUGAACUUAGUGAAAAUGCCAAUGUCUACCCUUAGUGUCCUCCCAAUGGAUUGAAUGCAAGGCAUUAAUACAACCACUAGAGAUUCUACUAUAAGAUAGGUGAUAAGCAUCAAUGAAAUACCUACAAAAAAGCAAACCUUGUUAGCCGAAAAGUUUCUUACCAAACUCUUCUCAAAACUGAAUCGAGUCUGAUAGAGAAAUGGAUCCUCUUUUCCUCCUAAUUCCUUGCAACCUUCACUCUUAUGUAGGUACAUUGCAUCUUAUCUUCAUUAAUAAUCCUCCUUCCUUUUGAGUCCAUAUCGCAGAAACAAUGACAUUCAAUAUUUCCUUCAUCUAGAGCAUAAUUAGCAAGGUGGUCUGCUAGUGUAUUCCCUUCUCUAAAUAUGUGUGUGACCUUGAAGAUACUUUUUUCCUUCAAUCUUAAAAUCUCCUCUACAUGUUUCGUAAUACACCAAGGAGGCUUCCAUGAUUCCUCUAUAAUGUUCUUUAAUAGCAAGGAAUCUGUCUGCAGCCAUAUCUGGAAAUAAUUAAGAUUUUUGCACAUCUUCAAUACCUCCACAAUAGCUACUGCUUCUGAUUUAUUGUUGGUUCCUUCAGAAAUCUCCCUUCCUUCUACGUAUAUCAAAUCUCCUACCUCAUCCCUUAUGCAUAAACCAAUUGCACUCCUUCCCGGAUUCCCUCUACAUGCUCCAUCAGUAUUCACUUUGAUCCACCCUCUUGAAGGAAAUUCCCAUACCACUUUAUCAAAUUUCAAUCGAGGCGUGUAUUGCUCCAUCAUUGUCAGUAAGUCCAGCCACUUGUGAGGCACAUGUAGUCCAGGAUUUUUUAGUUGGACUACAGCUUGCAGAGUAGAUGACACCUGGUAAAUAACUCUGCUCACUGACACCGCUUCUCCAUAUUUCAAACUGUUUCUUCUCUUCCAAAGUUCCCAUACAAUGCAUGCAGGUAAAGCUUGUAAGACUGGCUUCAAUCUGGGAACAAUUGGUGUUGUCCAACACUUUGUAAUUGCUUGUUGUAAUGAUAACCCUUGUAAUGCAAUUCCUGCUCUCCUCAGGAAGUAAUUCCAAACACUCCUAGCUGCAUUGGAAGUGAAGAACACAUGUACUAAUGAUUCCUCCUUAGGAUCAUCACAACACCAACAUUUAGAUGGCAUGGAGUAUGCUAUUUUACGCAAAAAAUCAUCAAGUGGUAGUUUGGCUUUCCACACUUUCCACAGAAAGAAAGAUAUCUUGAAAGGUAAACCUUUGACCCAUAUCAUCC
RNAcentral lists this long non-coding RNA (1511 nucleotides) under Nicotiana tabacum (common tobacco). RNAcentral describes it as "long non-coding RNA (NTAB_LNC008555)". Lineage: Eukaryota; Viridiplantae; Streptophyta; Magnoliopsida; Solanales; Solanaceae. The record is from RNAcentral.